ACGUAGGUGGCAAGCGUUGUCCGGAUUUACUGGGCGUAAAGCGCACGCAGGCGGCCUGUCUAGUCCAGGGUGAAAUCUCCCGGCUCAACCGGGAGAGGUCUCUGGAUACUGGCAGGCUUGAGGGCAGCAGAGGAGAGCAGAAUUCCCGGUGUAGCGGUGAUAUGCGUAGAUAUCGGGAGGAAUACCAGUGGCGAAGGCGGCUCUCUGGGCUGUCCCUGACGCUGAGGUGCGAAAGCGUGGGGAGCAAACCGGAUUAGAUACCCGGGUAGUCCACGCUGUAAACGUUGGGCACUAGGUGUGGGGGGUAUUGACCCCUUCCGUGCCGUAGCUAACGCGAUAAGUGCCCCGCCUGGGGAGUACGGCCGCAAGGCUA
Molecule: ribosomal RNA, 373 nt
Filed under: uncultured bacterium
Lineage: Bacteria
Description: bacterial SSU rRNA
Rfam family: Bacterial small subunit ribosomal RNA
Source: RNAcentral